AACGCGAAGAACCUUACCACCUUUUGACAUGCCUGGACCGCCGGAGAGAUCCGGUUUUCCCUUCGGGGACUAGGACACAGGUGCUGCAUGGCUGUCGUCAGCUCGUGUCGUGAGAUGUUGGGUUAAGUCCCGCAACGAGCGCAACCCUCGCCCUUAGUUGCCAUCAUUCAGUUGGGCACUCUAGGGGGACUGCCGGUGAUAAGCCGAGAGGAAGGUGGGGAUGACGUCAAGUCCUCAUGGCCCUUACGGGCUGGGCUACACACGUGCUACAAUGGCGGUGACAAUGGGAUGCUGAGGGGCGACCCCGAGCAAAUCUCAAAAAGCCGUCUCAGUUCGGAUUGCACUCUGCAACUCGAGUGCAUGAAGGUGGAAUCGCUAGUAAUCGUAGAUCAGAACGCUACGGUGAAUACGUUCCCGGGCCUUGUACACACCGUAGAGAC
This 440-nucleotide ribosomal RNA is filed under the name uncultured bacterium. RNAcentral describes it as "bacterial SSU rRNA". It matches the Rfam family "Bacterial small subunit ribosomal RNA", at positions 958 to 1400 of the family's 1533-position model. The record is from RNAcentral.